UGGCUUUUGCGUAUCAGCCCCUGCACUGCAUUGCAUGAUCCUGUUGAACAGAAGAGAGAAGAAAUUGAGGCAUAGUUAAUGUUGAAAAGCUGUAAGACAGGUAGUAAAUAUUAGCCCCUAAGGUAUAAAACAU
This 133-nucleotide long non-coding RNA is filed under the name Capra hircus (goat). Its description in RNAcentral is "lncRNA (ENSCHIG00010032159.1)". The record is from RNAcentral. Lineage: Eukaryota; Metazoa; Chordata; Mammalia; Artiodactyla; Bovidae.